This 336-nucleotide ribosomal RNA is filed under the name Lepetodrilus atlanticus. Its description in RNAcentral is "SSU rRNA". It matches the Rfam family "Eukaryotic small subunit ribosomal RNA", at positions 51 to 375 of the family's 1831-position model. Lineage: Eukaryota; Metazoa; Mollusca; Gastropoda; Lepetellida; Lepetodrilidae. The record is from RNAcentral.
AUGCAUGUCUAAGUACAAACUCUAGCACAGUGAAACUGCGAAUGGCUCAUUAGAUCAGUUAUGGUUCCUUAGACGAUACAAUCCUACUUGGAUAACUGUGGUAAUUCUAGAGCUAAUACAUGCACUCUAGCUCCGACCCUUUCGCGAGGGGAAGAGCGCGUUUAUCAGUUCGAAGCCAGCCGGGUUGCAAAACUCGACUCUUUGGUGACUCUGGAUAACUCUUGCGGAUCGCACGGUCUCGAACCGGCGACGCGUCUAUCAAGUGUCUGCCCUAUCAGACUGUCGAUGGUAAGUGCUAUGCUUACCAUGGUGAUAACGGGUAACGGGGAAUCAGGG